RNAcentral lists this transfer RNA (82 nucleotides) under Lepisosteus oculatus (spotted gar). It matches the Rfam family "tRNA". Rfam says of the family: Transfer RNA (tRNA) molecules are approximately 80 nucleotides in length. Lineage: Eukaryota; Metazoa; Chordata; Actinopteri; Semionotiformes; Lepisosteidae. The record is from Rfam by way of RNAcentral.
GGUAGUGUGGCUGAGUGGUCUAAGGCACUGGAUUGCGGCUACAGUCUCUUCAGUGUUGUGGGUUUGAAUCCUACUGCUGCCA